This 430-nucleotide ribosomal RNA is filed under the name Actinomycetes bacterium. RNAcentral's name for it is "Actinobacteria bacterium partial 16S ribosomal RNA". It matches the Rfam family "Bacterial small subunit ribosomal RNA", at positions 355 to 776 of the family's 1533-position model. Lineage: Bacteria; Bacillati; Actinomycetota; Actinomycetes. The record is from RNAcentral.
UGGGGAAUAUUGGACAAUGGGCGGAAGCCUGAUCCAGCCAUGCCGCGUGUGUGAAGAAGGCCUUUUGGUUGUAAAGCACUUUAAGCGAGGAGGAGGCUACUUGGAUUAAUACUCUAGGAUAGUGGACGUUACUCGCAGAAUAAGCACCGGCUAACUCUGUGCCAGCAGCCGCGGUAAUACAGAGGGUGCGAGCGUUAAUCGGAUUUACUGGGCGUAAAGCGUGCGUAGGCGGCUUCUUAAGUCGGAUGUGAAAUCCCUGAGCUUAACUUAGGAAUUGCAGUCGAUACUGGGAAGCUAGAGUAUGGGAGAGGAGGGUAGAAUUCCAGGUGUAGCGGUGAAAUGCGUAGAGAUCUGGAGGAAUACCGAUGGCGAAGGCAGCCAUCUGGCCUAAUACUGACGCUGAGGUACGAAGGCAGGGGGAGCAAACAGG